This 155-nucleotide ribosomal RNA is filed under the name uncultured bacterium. RNAcentral describes it as "partial 16S ribosomal RNA". It matches the Rfam family "Bacterial small subunit ribosomal RNA", at positions 355 to 504 of the family's 1533-position model. The record is from RNAcentral.
UGGGGAAUAUUGGACAAUGGGCGCAAGCCUGAUCCAGCCAUGCCGCGUGAGUGAUGAAGGCCCUAGGGUUGUAAAGCUCUUUCGCCUGGGAACGAGAAGCCGGCUAAUAUCCGGCUAAUUUGAGUGUACCAGGAGAAGAAGCACCGGCUAACUCC